AUACUAUCGAUAGCACGGAAACCUCCGUGCUACCAAGUUGUUUUCAAUGAUGCGGCUUUUAAAUCUACGAUCAACUCAGUUAGACUUGAUCUACACUAUUAAAAGUAUUUGGAAACUAAAUUUUAUAAUUUUUCAACAUCAUUUGGCUAAUAAUCAAAAGGUCUUAAAAUUGACAAUUUUAAUGGUAGAUGUAAUGCAUCAGUGAAUNUCCUUGGCUUUUGCAAUUUGCGAAGACGAAAAUAGUAGAAGUUGGCGUUGGUUUUUACAUAACUUGGGGCAUUAUGUUAUACGCAAUCGACCGGUUUGUUUUAUAUCAGAUAGAUUUAGUGGCUUAAAGGAAAUAGUGGCUGAGUUAUAUCCCACUCGACAGGGUCAUGCACACCGGUGGUGUCUUCGACACAUGAAAGCAAAUAUGGCUAAGCGGUUUAAAAAUGAUUCAUUAUUAGACAAAUUUUACUGUAUCGGCAGUGCUCCAACAUCGGUACAAUAUUAUAAACUGAAAGAUGAGUUACUCGCGCUAGAUCAAGAUGCUUGGAAGUGGGUCGAUGAGCUCGAAGUAUACAAAGAGUAUUGGGCGUGGGCAUUUGAUGGAGGUUGAUGCUUCGGGUUGAUGACCACAAAUAUGUCCGAGAGUUUAAAUGGGGUACUUAAGGGAAUUCGUGCUCUCCCAGUAACGGCAUUUGUCGCGGGAGCUUUGAUCGAGCGAUGGAGACGGGAGACCCAGACAUUUCACUUCCGCUACGGUGAGAUGACGAUUACACUUCAGGAUGUGGCGGUUAUUUCGGGUCUUCGUGUCGAUGGAGUGCCGGUCACUGGGACUACAGUGUAUCUGUGGCCAGAUAUUUGUCAGGCGCUUUUGGGGGUUGUGCCGGAUGACAUCCGAGCUAGGCAGAUUAGAUUAGAUUGGAUAUACCAGCAGUUUCAUCAUCUACAUUUGGAAGCUCCGGCUGGAUUAGUUGCAGCCACUGCACGUGCAUAUAUACUAUAUCAGAUUGGCUGUAGUCUAUUUUCAAACCCCACCGGAUAUAGGGUUCAUCUUAAGUGGCUGCCACUUAUAGCGAAUUUUGAUGCAUGCGGCGCUUUAGCCUAGGGUGCAGCAGCACUGGCCUAUCUAUAUCGAGCUUUAGGAUCGGCUGCAUUAAAAANAUAUGUUAGUUGUUCUAUUUUUAUAGUUUUUUUUUUGAGGCUCUUUAUAUGUUUAUACGUGAUUUAAUUCAUAAUAUAUUAUAAUAUGUUUCAGAUUCAAUAGAUUUAGUUUCUAUAUGUUAGUCGGAGAGCUAGCAGGAGAGGGAGCUGCAGGAGCCGGUGCAGGAUCACGUGCCGGUGCAGGUGCAGAUGCCGGUGGGAGAUGUUGCUCUAGUCAUUAUCCAUACAGUAGUUAACGGAGCUAUAGCCAGUAGCGUAGCUCUAGGCGUUAGUAUUACGGGAGCGCUACGAGGCCAUAGCGGACUCAGAGGAGCUAUCACCGGCCAGAUCUACAACCCGCCCGGACACUACUUCUGCGCCGUACUGCAGCUCUUAUCUGCUUACAUUUCACGAGAGAUCUCUGACCGCCGCCGUUUUCGUUCAGGUUCAGGUUACCGGAUCAUCCUUUAGAGAGUCCCCGCCGCCCAUAUAGUCGUUGUAGUGAUCCUCUACCUCUAGGUCGUCUACAGCCACAAACUGCCACCACUACUGGGCUACAGCUACGUACAGGUUUUAGAGCUGGAGACUAUAGUCACCGCUGUCCAUAUCAUCCUUACAUGAGGUCAUGUGAUAGUUCUAGCUAUAAGUAUGGGCAGUUAUGGAGGUAGUGACGUAGCAUUCUACCAGCUAGUACUUGAUCCGAGGACUACCAUAUGACACAGACAGCAUAUCGCAGGUGGAUGUAAUAUCUAUUAUUGAGUGGAAACCGUUAGAUAUUAUAUGUUUUCUAAUUUUUUUUAUUAUUUAUCCGAAUCACUAGCAUGGUUUCGAGAGAGCCAGACCGGUGCUCCGACCAUUCAGUUACCACCUGCGACAUGACCUGCUCUUUAAGUAGCAGAGCACUAGACGGUCAUGGUCAGGUAUAUUUAGCUCCAGCGGACAUGGCCUAGUAGUGGCUGUUAGCCUACGACCAGUUAUUACCGGACAUUAGAUAGAGGGGUAGCGAGCUACACACGUCGUACUUUCACUCGGGUUAGGAGUAGACCGGCGGGGACUCUUCACAUCGCGGCCUACCAGAGGUGGCCUUACUCAUAUACGACCUCCUCUGCUUUGACGGCAUCCUGAGCUAGGACGUGCACUUCGAGUUGCUAUACUUUUGUUUAGUCACAGCAGGCUCUAGCGGUAUGGAGUGACGGGACAUGUGUCUUACGUCCAUCGCGUAGAUAUUAUUGUAGACACAUGCCGGCGGUACAGUAGACACUUUUUCGGUUAUAAUCAGUCGAUUUUAUAGUCAACUUUAUCAGUUUUUUAUCAACGUAAUUAUACAUGGACUCAGAGAGAGACAACCAGAUUGAGUAGAGACAUCUUGAGUUAUAGACAACAAGAUUGCAAACGACGUUUUGCAUUGGGUGGCCGCAAGCAGGUGGAUAAUAAACUUUUCAUAUAAACAAUCAACGUUUAUAUAUAUAUAUAUAUAUAUAUAUAUAUAACUCUAUCUUAUGAGAGUUUUCGUGGUUGAAGAACCACGAAAACUCAAAGAUCGGGAACCUAGAUGAGAAACUAAUGAUUAUUGAAAACCUAGUUUGUGAUAAGGUGGAUGGUGGUGGAUGGUGGUAGUAGAGUUGGGAUGUAGAGAGGUAGAUUACCGAUUUUCGAGUUUUCGUGGUGGGGAAUUACGAAAACUCCCAUAAGAUCGAGUUGAUAUAUCAUAUAUAUAUAUCUCUCACUCCAAUGAUACGAAAACCUUCGUGCCUCGGAAGGCACCAAGGUCCAGCAAAAGCUACAACGCUAAAAGCUUAGCAGCUAGCCGAGGCAAUUUGAACUAGAUCUUUGUUAUUCCACUCGUGAUCUUGUGUUUCUUGUUGAAAAAUUUGUUAUCGUGAAAAAACUUGCAUCAAACUUGUUGAAAUUUUCUUUAAAAUCAAGCUUAAAUCAGCACCUGCAGCUGUUUGUACUAAAGGCGGUGAAUGGUUCACCGUCUUUAGUGCAAAUACACAAAACCGGAAAAAAAAACGGCUAAGUCCUGAAAGACGGUGAAUGGUUUACGCCUAGAUAAGGCGGUAGAUGAUUCACCGUCUUUGUUAAGGCGGUGAACGAGUCACCGUCUUAUCUGUGUUUUAGCCCCCCUCUCGAGGACUUAGCGAAAUUAGGCUGGGUGGAGUUCUACACUAAAGACGGUAAACUUGCUCAGAUAAGGCGGUAAACUAUUGACCGUCUUUGUCAAGGCGGUAAACGAGUGACCGUCUUCCGUAGGCACCCAGCGCCGCGCGGGGAAUUGCUGAGAAAGCCUUGCGCCACGCGGGGAAUUGCUAAGUGGGCGGUGGCCUCGAUAAGACGGUAGACGAUUUACCGCCUUUGUUAAGGCGGUAAACGAGUCACCGUCUUCUCUAGGCACCCUAAGCUACCCUGGGAAUUGCUGAGAAGGCGGUGAUACACGGGGAAUUGCUGAGAAGGCGGUGAAUGGUGCAGGCCUAGAGAAGACGGUGAACCAUUCACCGUCUUCAAAACGUUACACCAAAGACGGUGAACGAGUCACCGUCUUUGUGAGAAAUGAUGAUGUGGCAGCUGAGGUGGCGAGAGGAGGGUUAGUUUCACAAAUAAAAGUUUCACAGGAUUAUUUUGCCAAUUACGAAAUUUCAUAGGGUUAUUUUCGAAAAAAGUCCCCAAGCUGAGUACUUACUCAACUCCACGGCGAACUAGAUAUAUUGGAUUUGACUCCAAUUUGGAGCUAGGCUGGUAUACUAUCGAUAGCACGGAAACCUCCGUGCUACCAAGUUGUUUUCAAUGAUGCGGCUUUUAAAUCUACGAUCAACUCAGUUAGACUUGAUCUACACUAUUAAAAGUAUUUGGAAACUAAAUUUUAUAAUUUUUCAACAUCAUUUGGCUAAUAAUCAAAAGGUCUUAAAAUUGACAAUUUUAAUGGUAGAUGUAAUGCAUCAGUGAAUUUAAUGGUGUAAAACAAUCCAAAUCUAAUGAAAUUUUUAUAGAAAAAUUUUUUCACUAUUUAGAGUAAGAUCGGUACCUCUGAUCUUAAAUUCAAGUCUUUUAUCAUCAUAUUUUAUGAGAUUUUUAUUUUCAGCCGUUUAUUUGUAGACUACUCGUUUGAUAGGUAAAUGAUGCCGAAAAAUUAUGAAAUUUAGUUUCCAAAUAAUUUUAAUAGUGUAGAUCAAGUUUAAUAGAGCCGAUCGUCGAUUUCGAAGCCGUAUCAUUGAAAAUAACUUAGUAGCACAGAGGCCUCCGUGCUACCGAUAGUAUACCAU
RNAcentral lists this long non-coding RNA (4385 nucleotides) under Ananas comosus (pineapple). RNAcentral's name for it is "long non-coding RNA (ACOM_LNC030814)". The record is from RNAcentral. Lineage: Eukaryota; Viridiplantae; Streptophyta; Magnoliopsida; Poales; Bromeliaceae.